AGGAUAAUGAAAUUUCGAGGAUCAACAUUGAUUUCGUCGUCGCCUGAGUCGGAAAGAAACGAUGCCACGUUUCGAAUUUCUUGUCUUAUAUUUCCUUCUCCACAAUCAUCAUGUCCUCGCUUCAUCUUCUAAUCAGCUCUAAAGUUUCAGGUUUCUCUUUCUGAUUUUCUAUCUGUCUGUUUGGUUCUCGAGAAAUUCGUGAAAGGGAAGGUAAAGUCAAUACUUUUUUUAUUCUUCUGUUUUAUGCUUGAUUGUUGUAAAAGAAAUGAAUCACUCUGAUUUAGGUUGAGCUUGGUAGUAUAGUAGUAGCUGUGCCAAAGGUAUUGGAUGUGUGUUUUAGUUGUGUUGAAUUCACAAUGUUGCUAGUAUAAAUAUUGGAAGUGAUUUCAGCUUCUUUACAUUCCCGUUGUUUCUUGGGAAUUAAGCAAAGUGUAACUAUGUUUUUCUUUUCAAUCUGCGCGUUGGGUUUUGUUCGCUGUUAUUGUUUAUUUUGAGUCAAUUAUUAACAUUAGUUAUUUGUUCAAAUUUUUUGUGCCAAGCUUUCUUUAGUGUGUGUUUUGAUUGAUGGGUGUUGGUUAUUUUGAGCAAAUGAUUAACGGGUAUGAUUUUUUCCAUUCAAAUUGGUAGAUUUUGUUCAAUGGGGAACACCUCUUCAGUGCUUACUCAAUAUGAUAUAGAAGAGGUUCAACGACACUCUAAUAACCUAUGUAAAUUGUCCUUAUCCUCUUCCCUGUCUAUGGCAUUCCCUUUCUUUCUUGUUAUUUUGUUUUGAGUUCUGAAUUCCAUGGUUUUGGGUUGUCAAACUCAGUCUCCCAGCUAGAGAUAGUGUCCUUGUAUGAAAGAUUUUGCCAGCUUGAUCGGAAUGCGAAAGGAUUUAUCUCAGCCGAUGAGUUCUUAUCAGUGCCCGAGUUUGCAAUGAAUCCGCUCUCCCAGAGGCUACUUAAAAUGGUGGAUGGUUUGAACUUUAAGGACUUUGUGGCAUUCUUGUCUGCAUUUAGUGCUAGAGCAAGUUUGGAACAGAAAGUUGGAUUUAUUUUCAAGGUAUAUGAUUCAGAUGGUAAUGGAAAAGUAUCUUUCAAUGACAUAUUAGAAGUGCUUCAAGAUUUGUCUGGUUCUUUCAUGUCCGAUGAGCAAAGAGAGCAAGUUCUGUGCCAAGUUUUGAAGGAGGCAGGUUACUCAAGGGAAUCUUACUUGAUGUUGGAUGACUUCAUUAAGGUGCUUUCCAUUGUAUUAUCAACUUAUGUAUAUGAAAAACAAUUUUUUUUUCCAUUUCAAAGUAUUAUCAUAAAAUAUGGUGAAAGAAGUGACUUGAACAGAGACAGAUUACAUCUCCAAUGGUACUUUUUUUGUCAAAUCAUUAUUCGCUUUAACUGGUUGAGAGAUAGAAUGUUGGAGAAGAAAUGAGAAUCCACAAGCAGAAAUUGUGCAGCAUUUCUUGUUGUACCUUCACAGGCUAAAAGCCUAAAAGACAAGCUACUGUUGUCCUAUUUAAUUUGCUUAAGGAUCAUGGGAUAAUUCAGGAGGAAUGGAGGAUUUAAGUGACUAAUCCCUUUUUUUUUCGGUUCAUUUGUUUCCUAUUGGGAUUUGAAUUUGAGACCUUACAGUCCUAAAAUAACUCCUGUACUACUGAACUAAAGCUCAUUUGUUGACACUACAAGAUGUUCAGAAAUUCUAUGUUCUCAUUGGAGAUUUGCGAAGUCUUUAAUUUUGUGAGGCAGUUGAAAUCUAUUGGCAGUAUUUGUUGGAUUUCCAGUUAAACUUAAGUACACACAGACUGUUUUAUCUUUAGCAACACAAUAGCAUAGGGCCCAGAACCAUGAUAACAGUUUACAUACCAACCUGCUGGUGAAUUACUUAGGCUGUUUAUUUGAGAGUGAAUUUGCUGAGAGUUAGUUUUGCAUUCUUGAAGAUUACUGGCUAGAUCUUUUUUCUUUAGGUGUUCUUUGCCUGUAUAAUAUUGCAUUAGUUUCUCUAUAAUUGGAAACUUAAACUUUCUCUUUUUCAGGUCAUAUCCUGGCUUUGAAGGAUUAUUGUAAUUCAGAUGAAUGUAUAGUUUAAUGACUGCUUAACAUGCUUCUACUAAUUCCUUUUUGUUCAGAUGUUUUGAAAAUCAUUAUUGAUAUGUUUGUGAUCAUUGCUUUGCACGUGACAGGUUUUUGGCCAUUCUGGCCUAAAAAUGGAGGUUGAAGUUCCAGUUGACUAGAGCUAACCAGGAAGUCCUUCAUACUUAAAUUUGAGAUGAGCGCUUGGAGAAACAACCCUCUAUUGUGCCUAUUGUGAAAUCUUCAAAGUCAAAUUGAAAGCUUAUACACCUGUAUUUGUCUUUAUAUACAAUAAACUUUCAGCUUAUCUGUAAAUGGUUCAUCAUCUCUGGAAUUUUUAGCAUUUGAGAUGUAUGAUUUAGUUGUUGA
RNAcentral lists this unclassified non-coding RNA (2411 nucleotides) under Hevea brasiliensis (rubber tree). Lineage: Eukaryota; Viridiplantae; Streptophyta; Magnoliopsida; Malpighiales; Euphorbiaceae. The record is from RNAcentral.